Molecule: transfer RNA, 80 nt
Filed under: Cutibacterium acnes KPA171202
Lineage: Bacteria; Bacillati; Actinomycetota; Actinomycetes; Propionibacteriales; Propionibacteriaceae
Description: tRNA-Pro
Rfam family: tRNA
About the family: Transfer RNA (tRNA) molecules are approximately 80 nucleotides in length. Their secondary structure includes four short double-helical elements and three loops (D, anti-codon, and T loops). Further hydrogen bonds mediate the characteristic L-shaped molecular structure. tRNAs have two regions of fundamental functional importance: the anti-codon, which is responsible for specific mRNA codon recognition, and the 3' end, to which the tRNAs corresponding amino acid is attached (by aminoacyl-tRNA synthetases). tRNAs cope with the degeneracy of the genetic code in two manners: having more than one tRNA (with a specific anti-codon) for a particular amino acid; and 'wobble' base-pairing, i.e. permitting non-standard base-pairing at the 3rd anti-codon position.
Source: RNAcentral
CGGGGUGUGGCGCAGUUUGGUAGCGCGCUUCGUUCGGGACGAAGAGGUCGCAGGUUCAAAUCCUGUCACCCCGACCAUCC